This 465-nucleotide ribosomal RNA is filed under the name Vreelandella stevensii. RNAcentral's name for it is "partial 16S ribosomal RNA". It matches the Rfam family "Bacterial small subunit ribosomal RNA", at positions 338 to 795 of the family's 1533-position model. The record is from RNAcentral. Lineage: Bacteria; Pseudomonadati; Pseudomonadota; Gammaproteobacteria; Oceanospirillales; Halomonadaceae.
CCUACGGGUGGCUGCAGUGGGGAAUAUUGGACAAUGGGCGAAAGCCUGAUCCAGCCAUGCCGCGUGUGUGAAGAAGGCCUUCGGGUUGUAAAGCACUUUCAGUGGGGAAGAAAGCCUUGGGGCUAAUACCCUCGAGGAAGGACAUCACCCACAGAAGAAGCACCGGCUAACUCCGUGCCAGCAGCCGCGGUAAUACGGAGGGUGCGAGCGUUAAUCGGAAUUACUGGGCGUAAAGCGCGCGUAGGCGGUCUGAUAAGCCGGUUGUGAAAGCCCCGGGCUCAACCUGGGAACGGCAUCCGGAACUGUCAGGCUAGAGUGCAGGAGAGGAAGGUAGAAUUCCCGGUGUAGCGGUGAAAUGCGUAGAGAUCGGGAGGAAUACCAGUGGCGAAGGUGGCCUUCUGGACUGACACUGACGCUGAGGUGCGAAAGCGUGGGUAGCAAACAGGAUUAGAUACCCUUGUAGUC